RNAcentral lists this ribosomal RNA (233 nucleotides) under uncultured Glomeraceae. RNAcentral's name for it is "partial 18S ribosomal RNA". It matches the Rfam family "Eukaryotic small subunit ribosomal RNA", at positions 548 to 784 of the family's 1831-position model. Lineage: Eukaryota; Fungi; Glomeromycota; Glomeromycetes; Glomerales; Glomeraceae. The record is from RNAcentral.
UUGGAGGGCAAGUCUGGUGCCAGCAGCCGCGGUAAUUCCAGCUCCAAUAGCGUAUAUUAAAGUUGUUGCAGUUAAAAAGCUCGUAGUUGAAUUUCGGGAUUAAUUUAUUGGUCGUGCUUUUGUACGUACUGGUAUUAUUGAUUCCUACCUUCUGACGAACCAUGAUGUCAUUAAUUUGGUGUCUUGGGGAAUCAGGACUGUUACUUUGAAAAAAUUAGAGUGGUUAAAGCAGG